Molecule: long non-coding RNA, 11196 nt
Filed under: Gossypium barbadense (sea-island cotton)
Lineage: Eukaryota; Viridiplantae; Streptophyta; Magnoliopsida; Malvales; Malvaceae
Description: long non-coding RNA (GBAR_LNC013171)
Source: RNAcentral
CCAAAAAGAAAACGGGAAAUCUGCAAGAAGAGGAUUAUGAUUGGCAAAAUAGAGACCAAAGAGAACAAAACUAUUACUAAUGUUUGAAACAAAUUUAGAUCAAUUAGCAUCAUGCUUUGUUACCAGCUGUAGGCCAAAUUGGUUGAAAAUGGUUUCAGUAAAGCACGGUCUCAUUUGCUUCUUUGUUUAACCCCAAUGGUUAGGCUUGCUCUAGAACCCUUGAGAUUCUCAUUAUGACAUUAAUGAUUUGAAUGAACCAACAGCCCCUUUUUCUUCUUUAUUUUGUAACUGCAAGCUUUAAGUUGAUAUAAAUAUGUUUUCCAAUGUAGUAUUCUUGUUUGCUUAGAUCAAUGUCAAAAACCUUGCCUCUAAUGCUUCCCUUACUUCUCCACUUUUUUUUUUUUUUUUAAAUUCUUUGUGGGGUCUUAUUAAAUACAGGUUGUUUAUGCCAUUCUAAAGCUAGCAAAGCAGUUGGCUUGACAAUCAAAUCUUGGAGAAACAAGUCAACCCAACUCAUCACUGUACCUUCAUUCUUCUGUGGGGGUUCUAUCUUUGAUGUGGUACUUCGUCGGAUGCAUCCUUCUCUUGUGGUUUUAUCUGUAAUAAAUGAACUUCAAUUUGGUUUCAAUGUGAUUGGAUUGUUGAUGUUGUAAUUCAACUUUGUACUUGAUAAUCCUGCUUCUAGUUUGCAUCAUUUUUUACUAUGUGGUUAUGUUUCCUGUGGCUUAAUUGUCUCAUUUGAUCUUGGAACUUGCACAUUUAUAUAUAUAUAUAUUGAACCAUCCCACAGGUAUAUACCACUUCUUGAAAUGGUGUUUUAUUUAGGUGGCCUUUUUGCUAUUGUGAACCAUCCCAAUGCUAAGCAGGAUCUGCUACCUUGGUAAUGCUAUAGCGCUACUGAAAGGCUUUGUACUUAGAUCAUCUUGAUUUUAAUUAAUUUGCAUCAUUUCAUUAUUUGAUUGUAAGUGUAUUUUCUCAUCUUGCGAAUUGGACUUAAUAAUCUAAGUUGUUUGCUUAUCAAUUAUACUUUUUACAAAACAAGUCCAGGAAAAGAUUGCAAACAGGGUUACAGGAUUGCUGGGAUUUCAAUUUUAUGUGUAUGCAUAUUAUUUAAUUUCUUAGGAUUAGAGCUCAUUUAUUUAUUUAUACUAGAUUUAUGGCACACUCAAUUGUGUAAAUUUUGGUUACAAUGAUAAAAUUAGUUCACAUCGUGCAUAAAGUUCUAAAUUCAAAUCAAUUUAUAGUAAGUUUUUAUUGAUUUAUAUUGUGUAAAAAAACAAAAACACUCUCAUUAGAAAUAAUUAAAGUUAAAUAUGGGUGAAUAUUUUAAUAAUUCCGUAGUUAACUUAAUACCUAACAGAAUCGAUAUAGUACUUAAAAUAAGUAUACACGUAAGUAUAGAUGAUGACUAUAAAAUAAUUUAGGCACUAAUUUCAGAGUGUUGUUAUAUCCAAUACCCACCACCUAGAGGCUUUCAAGCUAUAGAAAGGGUCCAAAACUCUAUCUAUUCCUUGCAUCUGAUGGUGGGGUAAUGUUUAGACAUAAUCUAGAUUUGGAUUUGAUUAUCUAGAAUUUUCAAAUUAAAUUGAUUUGGUUUCAGAAUUAGAAUAAAAAGCUAGUUUUGAAAUUUAUUUUAUUUAAGUUGGAAUGUAUUUUAUUUUGAGUCUAAUUUAAUUAAUAAAAUAAUUUUAAUUUAAUAUAUUAAGUCAAGAUUUUUAGUUGAUUAAGCAAUUUAUUAGUGAUUAAUGGAACUAGUUCAAAAAUUUAUCUUAACUGAAAUAAUUACAUUAAAAAAAUUUAAAAUAUCAUAGAGUGAACAUGAUAUAGUUUACUUUUUUUCAUCCUACUUAUGAGUCUUCUUGAAUAGUUUCAUUAUCUUCACAAUUUGCAUUCAUGUAGUUAUAUCACUCUACUUUUAGUUAUCCAUAAUUAAUUUUUUGAAAAAAUAUAUAUAACAAUGAAAAGUUAAGAAAUUUCAACCAAAAAAAAAAAAAAACACUUUUUGUUGAGGCUAUAGAUCAAAUGGCUAUAUUUGUUAAAUGACUACUCCAACCGUUAAAACCAUCUUUGUGAAAAAAAUCAGCUUGAUCAAGAUUGUAUACAGGAGCUAGAAUUGAAUGACUAAUAAUUUAAAUUGUUUUAAAAAAAUUAUUCAACUUUAACAAUUUCUUUUGAGAUUAAAAAAAUUUAAUCAAUUUUUUAAUAAAUUAAAUUUUAUCCAUCCCUAAUCUUUUAAAUAUAAAGAAAGACCCUAAACAGAUUUUUUAUUAAAAAAAUUAUAAGAUGAUAGAUAGCUACUUAUCAUUAAAUGUAGAAAAUAUUAAAUUACUUUUAUUUUAUUAAAAUAUUAAAAUAAAUUAUUUUUUAAAAUGAAAUAUUCAAAUUACCCUAUGUAUCUUUUAUCCAAAACUAUCUACAAUAAUAUAAAAUAUUAUAUUAAUAAAAUUAAAAUUAAUAAAACAAAUAAUCUUUUAAAAUCAAUAUUUACUUUUGUUAAAACAAUAUAAUUAUAUUCGAUACUUAUAUUUACUAAUUUAUCAAAUAAUUUUUAAUAUAAAUUUAAAACUUAUAAAAUUUAAUGGUAAAAAUUCAGUAGUUAAAUUUUUAAUAAUUAAAAUUUUAAUUUAUCAUUAGAUUAUGUAAGAAACAACAAUAAUAUAUAAAUAAUGAAAGUCAAUUACGUUCAUUGUCUUCCAUUAAAGAAAAGUUACACUCACAGUUUUUCAGUGAUAUUUCAGAUUUAUUUUUUAAUUAGUUUUUUAAUAAUAUAAUUUUUUUAUCGUAAUCAAGAUAUUCACAGUAGAUAGUAGUUACUAAUCUCUUUGUCGCAGGUAAAUAAUGUAUUUUUAAUUAUAAUAAUUAGUAUAUUCGUUAUUUAAAUUAUUGAAGAUAAUUAAAUUAUAUUAUCUUAUUUUAAAAAUCAAACUUAUAAUAAUAAAAAAUUUUAAAUGAUAAUUAAAGCAUUUAUAUUAUAUUUAAUGUAGAAUAUAAUUUUACUUCAUUUAAUUUAUACAGAACAACAUUACUAAUAAUAAUAAUAUAAUUAACAUAUAAAUUUUAUUUUGUCAUUCAAAUGCAAUGCUAAUAAAAAAAUUGUAAAAAUUAUAAUAAAAAAAGUAAUAUAUCAUAGGGAUCAUAUAUAAAAUCACUUAAUAAAAAAAAUUUAAUCUUCACAAAAUUCCAAUCUAUCCCAAAUAAAGUCAUAAUAAUAAAUUUCUUGAUAUUAAUCAAUAAAGUUUAAAACAAAAAAUAUAUAUAUUAUCAAAUUAGGAAAACCUACUUGAAAAUCUUGAAAAAUUAAUAUUUAUCAUAUAAAAUUCUAGAGAGAAAAAGAGAAUACGAAAAAUAUUGGAGAAAGUGAUGAAUAUUAAAAAGAAAAAGAAUAAGGAGUUUUGAGAUUUUGAGUAGGUUCAGAGAUAUUUAUUUCUUUUAUAUAAAUAAAUUAUUUUUAUAACAAAAUGUAAUAUCCAAAAAAAUUUACAGUAAGAUAUUAUCUUUGAUAUAAUAAAUAAGGAAAUAAAAUAAAAAAAAAGGAAAAUUUUAGAGCUAAGUCAACAUGGGGAAGUAUAUUAUAUUACAUAUAAUAUAAUAAGUAGAGUAGAUUAUAGAAAAGAUCCAUAAUAAUUAGACCUCCUCUGCUUUCCCCCAUAUUUGUUUUCCGGCCUCUUAGACUUUUGUCUAGCAAAUAUUACAACUUCUAGUUUCCAUAAGUUGUGGAUUAGUAUUUAUAUUUUAACUUGAUUAAUUUAAGCCAUUAUAUUUUUCUAAUCGGUCUUAAUUCCUGUAAUUUUUAAAUUAUUAAAUAUAAUUAAAUUAUUUUAUUUUAUUUAAUAAUUCAAAUAUUAUAAUAAUGAUAACUUUCAAAUUAUAAUUAAAUCACUUUAAUUAUAUUCAAUAUAAAUAUAUUUUUACUUCAUAUAAUUCAUACAAAGUAACAUUACUAAAAAUAAUAGCAUAAUUAACAUAUACCAAUUAUUUUAUCAUUCAAAUAUAGUGCUAAUAUUUUUUAAAUAAUUAUUGAAGUCUUCAUUAUUCAAUGUACUAUUCAUUAAAUUUUUAUAUAUGAAAUAUAAAAUACUUAUUAUAUAAAUUAUUUAAAUUUGCUAUUUUGGAACCAACAUAUAUUUUCCAUAGAAACGCAAUGAUUAAAUUAUAAAUUAAUUUAAUAUAAAUAUUAACUUUUUAUUUACUAUUCUAAAUUUUAGCAGAAUCAAAUUUUUUAUAAUUUUUUUAAUUUAUAAGUAUGAUAAAUUUUAUUAUCAAAUAAAUUUUUUUAACCAAACAUUUUAGUAAAAUUAAUUUUUUAUAAAUAUGAUUAAUCUUAUAAAUAAUAAAAUAUUUUAAAAUAAUAAAUUUAAUAAUAUAACAAACAAUAAAAAUUAUAUUGAUUAGUUCGAAUCUAAACUCGUAUUUUUAUAUAUAUUAGUCUUUGACAUAUGUGCAAUGUUUAUAUUUUUAUUAUUCUUUUUACAAUAUUAAAGAAGUACUUAUGUUUGUUUGAAAGAUGGAUAUAUCGCAUAUAUAUAUUUUAUUAUCUUUACAAAAUUAAUUAAAAUAUUAUAAUAAAAUAAUUUAGUAUAACAUAUAAAAUAAACUAAAUAAAUGUGUGAUCAUAAUGAAUGAAGAUUAUAAUUUUGCAUCAUUAUCGAUUUAAACGAUCUUUCAUCUCUUUCUUAUAGUGUUGUCAUUUGACAAUCACUUGAAAUUUCCUUUGAAAACCUAUUACUUUAAUACUCAAUAUUUUUUAGAUACUUAAAACUUAUCAAUCUAACAGUCUUCAUUUGUUGAAUAAUAUUUAUAAUAAUAGAUCUUAAUUUUAAUUGGUAUAUAAAUAUAACACUAAUUAAAUGAUAACUGAUUUAAAAUAAUAUUUAUUAUUAAUAAUUAAUAUACUCAAUUGUAUAGUUCAAACCAAUAAAAACUCUAUUAUACAAAAAAUAUUAUUAUUAUAAUAAUUUUAUCUAUUAACUUUUAUUGAGACUUUAUCUAUUACUAGUAUACCUAUCAUACCCAUAUUCGUGUGAAAAUAUUUAGAAUGUAUGUGACCGUAUUUUCAAAUGAAAAAAAAAAUCUAUUAUUUAAAAAAAUAUUUUAAACUCAUACUUUUAUAUAUAUAUCAAACUCGUGCACAUCUAUAUUAUUAUUAUUAUUAUUUUGUACAAGAGGGACAUGCUACAAAAUUGAUGUGAAUAAAAUCAUAAAAGAAUUUAAAAUGAUAAGAUAUUACUUAUUGAUUAAAUUGAAUAGUUUAAGUAAUAAUGAAAAUAUAAUUAAAGAUGGAUUAUUUUAAUAAUUGUUAUGAUUUAAAUAAAGGUAAAAUAACAACUCUUUCUUAAAAAUUUAUGAUUAAAUAUUAAAUUUCAAAAAAUAAAAAGUAUUAAAGAAAUUAGAUUAAAGUUUGAUUUAAUUUAUAUAUGCAUACUAAUAAUAUAUAAAAUUAAGGGUAAGCUACACUUAUGGUCACUUUUGUUUGAUUUAACAAUGUCUUUAUCAUUUCACGGAGAUAAUACCAACACUAACAACCAUACUUUUUGCUACAAAGAUAAUAUCAAUUUCAAGCCUUAGUGGUCUCGUGUCUUAAUCUAUUUUUAGCUCAAGCAUCGGAGAGAGAUUACAGGUAAAGGAUAUGGCAUUUUAUAUUUCCAACUUUGUCAAUUGAAUAAAAAAAAAUAAAAGGUAUUUUUGAAAGUCAUUUUUUAUAUAAAAUCUUUAAAAUAUUUUUUUACUUUUAAAAUUUUUAAUUUUUUUUAUAAUUUAUAUUUAAUUUUUAAAAUUUUAAGAAUUUUUAAAUAUUUUUAUAAUUUUUAAAAUUCAGACUAAAAUGACAAAUUUUGUAAACAUUGAGGACUAACUUUGUUGAAUUUUUAAAAUUUAGGAUCAAAUUAGUAGAAUGUGUAAAUAUUGAAGGGUUAAAUUUUUUAUUAGGCCAAUAAAAUAAAGUCACGUUAGACUAACUCACGGAAGAAUGACUAAAAUAUUUAAUUUCAAAAAAUUAAAUAAUUAAAAAAAAAUUAAUAGUUGGGUGAUUGAAAUAGAACAAUAUGAAUAGUUAGAUGACUAUUCUUGUACUUUACAACUAAAAUAUUAAUUUAAUUUAGGUUUAACAUAUUUCUGUUAAUCAAAUUGUAAAAAUAUUCAGUAAUUGUUGGUCUAACAAAACAAUUUAAUAGUUUCACAAAAAAAAAAAUAGUUUAAUUCAAAACUUAUUAAGAAAAAAAUAUUUAAUAAUGAAAAAAAGAAAAGCAUUUUUUUAAAAAAUUUGUAAUAAUAAGAAAAAUAUUUUCUUAUAAAAAUAAGAAAAAUAUUUUUUAAUAAUAAAACACAAAAAGAAUUCACAAAAAUACUGUAAUACAAAAAGGGAAAAUUGUAAUUAAAUAUUUUUUAAUAUUAUUUUAAAACAAUUUAUAAAAAUAAUUAAACAUUUUAAAAAGUCAAGAUGUUUUUAAUUCAACCAAAGUACUUUGCACGUUGUAUCGAAAGUAUAUUAUUUAAAUUUUAUAAGAAAAAUAUUUUUAAAUAAAUAAAAAGCACAAAAGAAAAUAAUUUAAUUAUAAUAAGUAUUUUUCGGGUAAAAAGAGGGGAAAAAAUAAAAGAAUUCAUAAAAAUGAUAUGAAAAGGAAAAGUUAAUUAAAUGCUUUAUAAUAUUAUUUUAAAAGAGCUCAUAAAAAUAAUUAAAAAUUUUAGAAGAAUAUUUUAGUUUUUCUUAACACUUUUUGGAGCUGACACAUAAUUUAUAGAUAGAUAGAUAAUCAUACCCUAAAAAUCUAUCCUUUAUAAAGAACUAAAUGUAGUUGUUAUUAUUACCUUGCAGAGUAUUUGGUGAAUUAUGGAAUUUGUAGGACCAAUUUGUGAAGCAUUAAAGUGCUUAGGAGAUCCAACAUGUACAUACAUAGAGCAUCACAGAAAACUUGAAGACAGGAUGAAUGAUCUUCUGGCAAAACAACGCCAACUAAAUGCUAUGAAGCGAGAUGUGGAGCUGAGAAUAGAGGCGGAGCUUCGAUGGGGAAGACUUUUAAGGAAAGAAGUAGAGAACUGGCUUCUAGAGGUGCAAACCGUCAAUGGCAAAGUACAGGAGGUUGAUAAAAGAAAGCAAAAUGUGUCUUGUUUUUCACGUGGGCGCCUUGGGAAACAAGUUUCCCAAACAGUUGAAGAAGUAAAGGAAAUUAUUGAACAAGGCAGGUUCACUGGAGCUCUAGUAAUUGAUGAUCCAUCUACUGCUGGAGUGCCUUUUCAGUUGGAACAUUUGGAAGGUGAAACCGAGGUGAUUGAAGUCAUUUGGAAGCAUUUGAUGAGUGAUGAAAUUGGAAUGGUUGGUGUAUGUGGAAUGGGCGGGAUCGGGAAAACCACUAUAAUGAAGCACAUACACGAUCAACUAUUGGAGGAGACUAAAUCUAAACCCUUGUUUGAGAAAAUCAUUUGGGUCACUGUUUCACAGGACUUCAACAUCACCAGGUUACAACAAGACAUUGCAGAUGCUAUGAAUAUUAAAGAUCUUCCGGAAUCUGAAGAAAAGCGUGCAGCUGUGUUAAGGAACAAAUUGCGACAAAUAAGAUAUGUAUUGAUCUUAGAUGAUGUUUGGGAAGGGUUCGUUCUCGAAAAGGUAGGGAUCCCUGAACCAAUAUCCAGCAAUCGGAGUAAGUUGGUAUUAACUAGUAGAUUGAAAGAGUUUUGUAAAUCUAUAGGCUGUCAUGAGAUAGUCGAAGUGCCUCUACUUUCCUUUGACGAGUCCAUGAAUUUAUUCUUGGUUCAUACCGGACAUGAGGUUCUAAAGGUUCCAUCUUUGGAAAAAAUUUUGGGCGAUAUUGUUAGAGAGUGUGAUAGGUUACCCCUUGCCAUAAAAGUAAUAGCUAGUAGCAUGAAGGGAAUAUAUGAUGUUGUUGAAUGGAGGAAUGCAUUAACAGAGUUACGUAACCAUGUAACAAGUGUGAAGGACACAGAUAAAGAAAUAUACGGGCGAUUAAAGUUCAGUUUCGACCGUUUGAAAGAUUUGAAUAUCCAAAAUUGUUUCCUUUAUUGCUCACUGUACCCAGAAGACUAUAGAAUUCCAAGGAUGGAAUUAAUAGAAUAUUGGAUAGACGAGAGAUUUCUUGAAAUGGCGAGUCGACAACAAUUGCAUGAUAGGGGUCAUACUAUAUUAAAUAGGCUGAUAAACAACUGUUUGUUGGAAAAGGCAGGAGAUGAUGUUAAGAUGCAUGAUGUGAUGAGAGAUAUGGCAUUGUAUAUCAAACAACUUCAUUUUAUUGUAAAAGCUGGCACCGGAUUGGAAGAAUUACCAAGCAAUUCAGAAUGGAAAAAAGAUGUUGAAAGGGCUUCAUUCAUGAUGAAUAAGGUAUCAGAAAUUCCUCUAAGCUUGUCACCCAAUUGUGGAAACCUUUCGACCUUAUUACUGAAAAUGAAUGUGUCCUUGAAAAGGAUUUCCGAAUCAUUCUUUCAGCACAUGCAUAGUCUCAGCAUUCUUGACCUUUCUUAUACCGGUAUCAAGCAAUUGCCCAAUUCCGUUUCAAACUUGGAAACGCUCAAUGCAUUGGUGCUUCGUGGAUGCUGCAACUUGAGAUAUGUGCCUUCACUAGAAAAGCUUAAGGCUCUACGAAAGCUAGACCUCCGUGAUACAGCUAUUAAAGAGGUGCCUAAAGGUUUGGAAAUGUUAGUAAAUCUGACAUAUCUUGAUUUAUCUACUGAAAGCUUAAAGGAGUUCCCAAUGGCAAUUCUCCCUCAGCUUUCCUGUCUACAAUAUUUGAUAUUUUACAGUAAAUCACGUACUGUAAAACUGGAUGGAUCGGAAGCUGCCAGAUUAAGGAAGCUAGAGGAAUUUGAAGGGAGAUUUAAUGAGUUGACAGACUUUAAUGACUACACCGACUCUAUACGAAGUCAAAGUCUUACUUCUUACUUGCUUGUCAUGGCACCACCUGAAGCCAAGUUUAAAGUCAAAGAGGGAACCAGAAAAUUAAAGCUUAAGUAUGAUGGUUCAGGAGACAUCACAGUCCCAAAACUAAGGAAAAUGACAAAAGGACUCAAAGGUACGAUCGAAUCAAAUCUAUAUUAUGUUAAUCUACUUUUAUGAUAUUAAUUUCGUCAGUGUUGAUAUUCAUAUUCCUUUUAGUUAUUGAAUAUUUUAUUCAAAACACAUCGAGUUAAAUAUAAAUACAAUAUUUAAAUGAAGGACAACGAUAGAAAAACUUUUUGAGGAUUGGAAUUAAAUUAUAUAUUUAUCUGAUAGUAAAAAUAUAAUUUUACCAUCUUAAUAGUUUAUAUAUUUAUAAUUUUUGAAGGAUUAAAUUAAAAUUUUAUAAUUUUGAGGAAUUAAAAUAUAAUUUUACUAUUAUUAAUUUAAAAAUAAAAAAUUUUCCAGCUGGCCGCCUGCAAACCCCCGGCUUAGCCACUGAUUCAAAUUAUUUGGUAGCAAAAUAAAAAAUAAAAAAAUACAUUUAGCCAAUUGAGCUUUCAAAGUUUUUUAUUAAUCUGGUCCAAACAUUAAUCAAACCUGCUUAUGUGGCAUCAAAAUCAGUUUUCAACAUUUCAUAAUCAUAUUUUGAGGAAAUUGAAAAAUGAGAAAUGCUUUCUAAAUAUAUAAUUGAUUAAAGCCAAUAUUCAAGAAUAAUUUAUAAAUACUUUUAUAUGCUGCUAAAUAUUGAAUAUCUGUGGAAUCUGUGUCCUUUGUAUAUUUGCAUUUUAUUUAUUUUUAGCAUGCCUUUUGUUUCUUUUCGCAUAUUUUUAACAGUUGAAGGUGUGGAAUAUGUGGCCUUUAAAGAGGAAAAUGGACAAGUGAAAGUGAUUGGUGACGUGGAUCCUGUUCGAAUCGUAAUGAAGCUGAGAAAAUAUAUCCAUGUUGAUAUCUUGUCUGUGGGUCCAAACCGGAGGAGCUUUCGCUCUCUUCUACCCAAGAAGGAAGUAAUUUUAAGUGGAUGCCAGAUCGGAAGAGGUCCAGUGAUUCUUCCAACUGAUCUUAUGCUUCUGAGAAUUUUUGAAUCCCACAAUGUGAGAAGCUUAAGCGAUAUCUCCAUAUUCUUCCAACAAGCAAGCCAGUUAAGGUUCUGUUCAGUUGAAGAUUGUAAAGGGAUAGAAUCCAUUCUCGACUCGUCUUUGUCGAACUCGCUUUGCAGACCACUUGAGAACCUUGAGUACUUGUGGCUUGAAAGGUUGGCUAAUUUGCAUGUGCUUAUUAAAUUCGAAGCACCUCUUUCUAUUUCUAGGUCACGGCCUCUACUAGGCAUCUUUUCUCAUCUUAAAUCAUUUGUGAUUAAAAAAUGCCUAAACAUGAAGCAGCUCUUCCCAUUUAAGCUAGCACAUGACCUUCAAAACCUGGAGAAUCUGGUGGUUUGUAAUUGCGUACAAAUGGAGGAAAUAAUAUCAUCAGAGGAAGAGAAUCACAAGGGAAACGGAAUAAACACUCCCAUGAAAUUCAGUCUUCCCAAAUUAAGGGAGUUAGAAUUGAAGAACUUACCAGAGCUGAAGAGCAUAUGCAGUUCAAAUAGGGAAAUGGUAUGCAAUUCUCUUCGGAAUAUUGAAAUAUCGAAAUGUACGAAUCUGAAAAGGAUGCCUCUGUAUCUUCCUCUUUUUCAAGAUACACACCAAUCAGCUCCUUCUGCUCAUCCUUUCGGAAGAAUCCGCAUAUGUCCAAAGGAGUGGUGGGAAUCAGUAGAGUGGGACUAUCCGAAUGCUAAGGAGGUUCUGCGACCUUGGUUGUGCCGUGUUUAGCGCUGCUGGAAGCCUUUGCUGGUCAAAUCAAAUUCCGGAUCAAGCUAAACAGUGAGUCUUCAUUUCUUGCUUUUAUUUCUAGAAAAAAAUUGAAGAUUUUUUAUUCUUCCAAAAAGAAAACGGGAAAACCUACAAGAAGAGGAUUAUGACUGGCAAAAUAGAAACCAAAGAGAACAAAAAUAUUGCUAAUGUUUAAAACAAAUUUAGAUCAAUUAGCAUCAUGCUUUGUUACCAGCUAUCGGCUAAUUUGGUUGAAAAUGGUUUUAAUAAAGCACGGUCCCAUUUGCUUCUUUGUUUAACCCCAAUGAUUAGGCUUGCUCUAGAACCCUUGAGAUUCUCAUUAUGACAUUAAUGAUUUGAAAGAAUGAACAGCCCCUUUUUCUUCUUUAUUUUGUAACUGCAAGCUUUAAGUUGAUAUAAAUAUGUUUUCCAAUGUAGUAUUCUUGUUUGCUUAGAUCAAUGUCAAAAACCUUGCCUCUAAUGCUUCCCCUUCUUCUCCAC